Molecule: long non-coding RNA, 1514 nt
Organism: Dreissena polymorpha
Lineage: Eukaryota; Metazoa; Mollusca; Bivalvia; Myida; Dreissenidae
Exons: 2
Source: RefSeq, a predicted model, not a curated record
CUUUAACCUCAAUAUGGCGUAAAGUGACCCCUUGCCGGAAAACGGUUGGAAAUGUCACUGGUGAUUUUGCGAACAUUUUGCAGAUUGAAAGCAUGCAAACAGACAUCAGUAACGUGUUACACACGAAGAUUUGCAUCAAGGAAAAAUGAUUCCACAGCUCUGGACGAAAGGAGAACAUCUUCACCUUCUGAUGUUGCACAGCAGCCACCAUACCAGUUUAUGACUGAAUUCUACAAUAAUCCAGAAAAAUUCUCGUAUGAGAAAACAUUUCCAGACCCACAAGCAGAUUCAUGGAAGUUUGAAAAACCAAUUUGCCUUACAUGCAUAACUGUCUUGUUUGUGUACUUUGGGUUUAUUCGAGAAGAAAAUAAUCUUGAUAAAAUUUUAAAACGCCCGCUGUAUGAUACCUUUCCCUAUCUUGAACAACAGAAUUUGGAGGACAUAAUUAGCACCUUGCAGGGCGAAGGAAAGGAUACCACAGAGUAUGAGGAAGAGCUCUUAAAAGUGCAGAAAAAAGCUGCAGCCAUGAAAAAGUGAUUGCUUGAACUAAAGACAGUUAAAGAUGUAAAAAUAAUUAAACUAUGUCUUCAAUAAUAAUUUGUUAAAUAACCAACAAUGCCUCAUGAAAAUACUGGUGAUACUGGGGAUUAAGCAGAAAUGCAGGGGGGGGGAGGGCAAUUUUUAUGCCCACUUUGUUAAAAUAUUUAGCGCCACUUUUAUUUUGUAUGCCCACACCCUUUUUUGUUUGCUCACAUGAGCACAAUGUGGUCAUGGUGAGCUUUUGUAAUCGCCUUUUGUUCGUUGUGCGGCGUCAAAAUUUGCUUUGUUGACACCCUAGAGGCCACAUUUAUUAUCAGAUUUUUAUGAACUUUGGUCAGAAAAUUAGUCUCAAUGAUAUCUUGGAUGAGUUUGAAAAUGGUUACAGUUGCUUGAAAAACAUGGCCGCUAGGGGGCGGGGAAUUUUUCCUUAUAUGGCUAUAUAUGGCAAUAGUAAAAUCUCGUUAACACUGAAGAGGCCACAUUUAUUGACAGAUCUUCAUGAAACUUGGUCAGAAGAUUCGUCCCAAUGAUAUCUUGGACAAGUUUGAAAAUGAUUCAUGCCAAGUGGCAUGCCAUUUUUCCUGAUAUGGCUAUAGGAAAACCUUGUCAACACUCUAGUGGCCAUACUUAUUUUCCGAUCUUCAUGAAACUUGGUCAAAACAUACGUCCUCUGACAUCUUGGAUGAGUUCGAAAAUGGUUCUUGUCUGUGAAAAAACAUGACCACUACUGACUAUGGGGCGGGACAUUUAUUCUAAUAUGGCUAUAUAUGGCUAUAGUAAAACCUUGUUUACACUCUUGAGGCCGCAUUUUUUGUUCCAUCUUCAUGAAACUUGGUCAGAAGAUAUGUCCUAAUGAUAUCUUGAACGAGUUAGAAAAUGGUACUGGUUGGUUGAAAAACAUGGCUGCAUUCGGACGGGGCAUUUUUCCUUAUAUAGCUAUGGUAAAAACUUAAUUAAAUACAAAGGCUCAAGUA